This is a non-coding RNA of Xyrichtys novacula (pearly razorfish), 742 nucleotides long. The record is from the annotation of a GenBank genome assembly. Lineage: Eukaryota; Metazoa; Chordata; Actinopteri; Labriformes; Labridae.
GUCCUUCCUUGACCCCUUUAUUGCCCCGAGGGACACAUCAAGCAACAUGUCUCGGGAGGUCGAGGAAGACUUCACCGCAGAAAAUGCUGCUUCUUCUGCUGGGAUGCCUGAAGACCUGGAGGAAGCAGGCCCCUCAGGAGUGGAGUUUGACGGUUGGUUGAUGAGUGAAAAACAUAGCAAAUAAAUUUGAGUCCCCUCAUGGUUUAAACACACCAUUGUAGUCUAAUUUAAGAUGGACAGAUCAAGUCAUGCACAUGUAAUGUGUGAACAUUUUUUAUUUGAAUAACAAUGUUGCCUGAUUGCAGAGUUUUGAUUUCAGACAUUUUUGUCACAACUUUAACUAAAGAUAAGCCUGCUCCCUCUCCUGCUUCAGCUCCCUCUCCUGCAGCAGCUCCCUCUCCUGCCCCAGCUCCAUCUCCUGCUUCAGCUCCCUCUCCUGCCCCGUCAGCUUCUCCUGCUCCCUCAACUGCGGCAAGUGAUGCCUCGGGCCCCACUGCAGCCAGGCCAAGAGGUAUAGAAAUUAAAUAUUAACCAUAUAUUCAAUGAAAUUGCUCAAGGUCACAUAGAAAUUAUAAAACAAAUAGUAACCGAUUAGUUUUUUUUUAUGACAGGGAGGAAGAGGAGGACGCCUCCCUCCUCACGACUGGAGGAGAUUGAGGAGCUCCUCUGUCAGGCCCUGAGGAGGCAGCAGACUCCCCCUCCACCACCACCACCACCACCACCCACAUCUCGCUAUCCCGAG